Callorhinchus milii (elephant shark) is the source of this 449-nucleotide long non-coding RNA. RefSeq lists it as uncharacterized. The record is from RefSeq and is a predicted model, not a curated record. The transcript has 2 exons. NCBI's taxonomy places the organism in Eukaryota, Metazoa, Chordata, Chondrichthyes, Chimaeriformes, Callorhinchidae.
CGGAGGGGGAAAAGUUUUUGAGUCUGUCUGUUCCUCGCUUCAGUGUUUCCCCGAGCCAUUCCAGAGCAGGUCACAAGUGGCGCGGUUUCGGAAUCGGAUGCUGGAAAAGGUUGAACACUCGCUUUCGCUCAGAAUUCAGAAGAAUGGUGAUGGAUCCAUUGGCGCGGACCAACCCACGGCUACAGGGUGAAGCUGUCUGUCCACACGCUCCCAGCUCAGCCAUAGCUUGGGGUAUAGGGAGAGUUUAACAGUCCGUGACUUGUGACAGCCACUGGUGAUGUUUGAUGGCUUCAGAGAAACGGAUGGAACACAUAUUCUCCUUCCUCGUGCUGUCGAUCUUCAUCUUCGUCGUGACCUGCUUGCCUUGUUAUCCGUCAGAGAGAGAGAGAGAGACACGCAUCGGGAAAGUUUAACCUGCUGACGAGACAGGCUGAGAGGAAGAGAGAGAG